This 598-nucleotide ribosomal RNA is filed under the name Ctenophthalmus sp. F405. RNAcentral describes it as "SSU rRNA". It matches the Rfam family "Eukaryotic small subunit ribosomal RNA", at positions 397 to 953 of the family's 1831-position model. Lineage: Eukaryota; Metazoa; Arthropoda; Insecta; Siphonaptera; Ctenophthalmidae. The record is from RNAcentral.
UGAGAAACGGCUACCACAUCCAAGGAAGGCAGCAGGCGCGCAAAUUACCCACUCCCGGCACGGGGAGGUAGUGACGAAAAAUAACGAUACGGGACUCAUCCGAGGCCCCGUAAUCGGAAUGAGUACACUUUAAAUCCUUUAACAAGGAACCAUUGGAGGGCAAGCCUGGUGCCAGCAGCCGCGGUAAUUCCAGCUCCAAUAGCGUAUAUUAAAGUUGUUGCGGUUAAAAAGCUCGUAGUUGAAUCUGUGUGCCACACUGUCGGUUCACCGCUCGCGGUGUUCAACUGAUAUGUCUGUGGGACGUCCUGCCGGUGGGCGCAGCCCCUCAAAAGGCGGCCCAACUCAAAAUCCUACCACGGUGCUCUUCACCGAGUGUCGAGGUGGGCCGGUACGUUUACUUUGAACAAAUUAGAGUGCUUAAAGCAGGCUCAUUCGCCUGAAUAUUCUGUGCAUGGAAUAAUGGAAUAGGACCUCGGUUCUAUUUUGUUGGUUUUCGGAACUCCGAGGUAAUGAUUAAUAGGGACAACUGGGGGCAUUCGUAUUGCGACGUUAGAGGUGAAAUUCUUGGAUCGUCGCAAGACGGACAGAAGCGAAAGAA